AGAGUUUGAUCCUGGCUCAGGACGAACGCUGGCGGCGUGCUUAACACAUGCAAGUCGAACGGUAAGGCCCCAGCUUGCUGGGGUACACGAGUGGCGAACGGGUGAGUAACACGUGGGUGACCUGCCCCGCACUUCGGGAUAAGCCUGGGAAACUGGGUCUAAUACCGGAUAGGACCGCACCGUGAGGGUGUGGUGGAAAGUUUUUCGGUGUGGGAUGGGCCCGCGGCCUAUCAGCUUGUUGGUGGGGUAAUGGCCUACCAAGGCGGCGACGGGUAGCCGGCCUGAGAGGGUGGACGGCCACAUUGGGACUGAGACACGGCCCAGACUCCUACGGGAGGCAGCAGUGGGGAAUAUUGCACAAUGGGCGGAAGCCUGAUGCAGCGACGCCGCGUGGGGGAUGACGGCCUUCGGGUUGUAAACUCCUUUCACCAUCGACGAAGGUUUUCUGACGGUAGAUGGAGAAGAAGCACCGGCUAACUACGUGCCAGCAGCCGCGGUAAUACGUAGGGUGCGAGCGUUGUCCGGAAUUACUGGGCGUAAAGAGCUCGUAGGUGGUUUGUCGCGUCGUCUGUGAAAUUCCGGGGCUUAACUCCGGGCGUGCAGGCGAUACGGGCAUAACUUGAGUACUGUAGGGGAGACUGGAAUUCCUGGUGUAGCGGUGAAAUGCGCAGAUAUCAGGAGGAACACCGGUGGCGAAGGCGGGUCUCUGGGCAGUAACUGACGCUGAGGAGCGAAAGCAUGGGUAGCGAACAGGAUUAGAUACCCUGGUAGUCCAUGCCGUAAACGGUGGGCGCUAGGUGUAGGGGUCUUCCACGACUUCUGUGCCGUAGCUAACGCAUUAAGCGCCCCGCCUGGGGAGUACGGCCGCAAGGCUAAACUCAAAGGAAUUGACGG
This 894-nucleotide ribosomal RNA is filed under the name uncultured bacterium. RNAcentral's name for it is "bacterial SSU rRNA". It matches the Rfam family "Bacterial small subunit ribosomal RNA", at positions 8 to 916 of the family's 1533-position model. The record is from RNAcentral.